RNAcentral lists this transfer RNA (85 nucleotides) under Alcanivorax sp. RNAcentral's name for it is "tRNA-Leu". It matches the Rfam family "tRNA". From Rfam's summary of the family: Transfer RNA (tRNA) molecules are approximately 80 nucleotides in length. Their secondary structure includes four short double-helical elements and three loops (D, anti-codon, and T loops). Further hydrogen bonds mediate the characteristic L-shaped molecular structure. tRNAs have two regions of fundamental functional importance: the anti-codon, which is responsible for specific mRNA codon recognition, and the 3' end, to which the tRNAs corresponding amino acid is attached (by aminoacyl-tRNA synthetases). tRNAs cope with the degeneracy of the genetic code in two manners: having more than one tRNA (with a specific anti-codon) for a particular amino acid; and 'wobble' base-pairing, i.e. permitting non-standard base-pairing at the 3rd anti-codon position. The record is from RNAcentral. Lineage: Bacteria; Pseudomonadati; Pseudomonadota; Gammaproteobacteria; Oceanospirillales; Alcanivoracaceae.
GGCGGGAUGGUGGAAUUGGUAUACACGGGUGAUUCAAAAUCACCUGCCGAAAGGCUUAGGGGUUCGAGUCCCCUUCCCGCUACCA